GACGAACGCUGGCGGCGUGCUUAACACAUGCAAGUCGAACGGAAAGGCCCUGCUUUUGUGGGGUGCUCGAGUGGCGAACGGGUGAGUAACACGUGAGUAACCUGCCCUUGACUUUAGGAUAACUUCAGGAAACUGGGGCUAAUACCGGAUAGGAACUCCUGCUGCAUGGUGGGGGUUGGAAAGUUUCGGCGGUUGGGGAUGGACUCGCGGCUUAUCAGCUUGUUGGUGGGGUAGUGGCUUACCAAGGCUUUGGCGGGUAGCCGGCCUGAGAGGGUGACCGGCAACAUUGGGACUGAGAUACGGCCCAGACUCCUACGGGAGGCAGCAGAGGGGAAUAUUGCACGAUGGGCGGAAGCCUGAUGCAGCAACGCCGCGUGCUGGAUGACGGCCUUCGGGUUGUAAACCGCUUUCGCCUGUAACGAAGCGUGAGUGAAGGUAAUGUAUAAAGAAGCACCGGCUAACUACGUG
RNAcentral lists this ribosomal RNA (468 nucleotides) under uncultured bacterium. Its description in RNAcentral is "partial 16S ribosomal RNA". It matches the Rfam family "Bacterial small subunit ribosomal RNA", at positions 28 to 507 of the family's 1533-position model. The record is from RNAcentral.